GCACUGCUGAGGAGUCCCAAAAUAGGACGAAACGGCCGUCCAGUGC
Non-coding RNA from Schistosoma mansoni, 46 nucleotides. Lineage: Eukaryota; Metazoa; Platyhelminthes; Trematoda; Strigeidida; Schistosomatidae. The record is from Rfam.